GUCUUUUUCCAGUGGUGCUCUAAUUGUAAUUUGUAUUUAGUCUUCUGUCUACUGUUCGACAACUAAUGUGAGUUUGGUAGUUUCAAGGACUUCAUACAAUAUUUUCUGCGGACACAAAGGAUCUUGGCAGAGAAACAAAGGAACACAAAGGAGGGAGCAAAUGUAUUCCAGAGAAAGCUCUUGCCUGGAUGAGUUCUGAAACCAAAGCGAAGGCUGAACUACUGAAGAUAAUUGGGUCCAGUGCUGAAACGUGCUGCUUCCAGGGAAAAGAAAAGAACUCAAGAUGUUUUGUCCUUCAUGAGCAAGCUUUGGUGUUCCCUUCCACUUUCACUACUGGAGUGAAGUGUCAGACUUCAAGGUCCCUUCAAGGACACAGAACUCAAAGUCUCUGGCUAAGACAAGAAUUACCAGACCCUUAUUAUCACCUCACUCAUCUCAUUGUAAUGCCCCCUCCCCUACCUUGGCAACCUGUCCUAUUCCUUCCUGCCCCCUACUAGGAAAGGCAUAUGGCCCACUCCUCACCCCACCAC
Molecule: long non-coding RNA, 530 nt
Filed under: Sus scrofa (pig)
Lineage: Eukaryota; Metazoa; Chordata; Mammalia; Artiodactyla; Suidae
Description: lncRNA (ENSSSCG00025007278.1)
Source: RNAcentral